RNAcentral lists this non-coding RNA (29 nucleotides) under Macaca fascicularis (crab-eating macaque). Lineage: Eukaryota; Metazoa; Chordata; Mammalia; Primates; Cercopithecidae. The record is from RNAcentral. RNAcentral also lists the same sequence under 6 other names.
GAGGGUCCAGGGUUCAAGUCCCUGUUCGG